UAACGAAUCUUCCGCAAUGGGCGAAAGCCUGACGGAGCAAUGCCGCGUGCGGGAUGAAGCGGCUUCGCCGUGUAAACCGCUGUCAGGAAGUAGAAACACUGAUCGCUUCCAAAGGAAGGGGCGACUAACUCUGUGCCAGCAGUCGCGGUAAUACAGAGGCCCCGAGCGUUAAUCGGAAUCACUGGGCUUAAAGGGUGCGCAGGCGGAUCGGAUAGUGUUUUGUGAAAUCCCUCGGCUCAACCGGGGAACAGCAGGGCAUACACCGAUCUUGAGACAGGUAGGGUCGAUGGAACCAUGGGUGGAGCGGUGAAAUGCGUAGAUAUCCGAUGGGAACGCCAAUGGCGAAGGCAGUCGACUGGGCCUGUUCUGACGCUCAGGCACGAAAGCGUGGGAGCAAACAGG
This 402-nucleotide ribosomal RNA is filed under the name uncultured bacterium. RNAcentral's name for it is "bacterial SSU rRNA". It matches the Rfam family "Bacterial small subunit ribosomal RNA", at positions 355 to 776 of the family's 1533-position model. The record is from RNAcentral.